This 87-nucleotide transfer RNA is filed under the name Candidatus Falkowbacteria bacterium RIFOXYA2_FULL_38_12. Its description in RNAcentral is "tRNA-Ser". It matches the Rfam family "tRNA". Rfam says of the family: Transfer RNA (tRNA) molecules are approximately 80 nucleotides in length. Their secondary structure includes four short double-helical elements and three loops (D, anti-codon, and T loops). Further hydrogen bonds mediate the characteristic L-shaped molecular structure. tRNAs have two regions of fundamental functional importance: the anti-codon, which is responsible for specific mRNA codon recognition, and the 3' end, to which the tRNAs corresponding amino acid is attached (by aminoacyl-tRNA synthetases). tRNAs cope with the degeneracy of the genetic code in two manners: having more than one tRNA (with a specific anti-codon) for a particular amino acid; and 'wobble' base-pairing, i.e. permitting non-standard base-pairing at the 3rd anti-codon position. The record is from RNAcentral. RNAcentral also lists the same sequence under 1 other name. Lineage: Bacteria; Candidatus Falkowiibacteriota.
GGAGAGGUCGCAUAGUGGUUUAGUGCACCGGUCUUGAAAACCGGAGUCCAUGCAAGUGGACCGAGGGUUCGAAUCCCUCCCUCUCCG